CAGUAGCCGCGGGAAUACAGAGGGUGCGAGCGUUAAUCGGAUUUACUGGGCGUAAAGCGUGCGUAGGCGGCUUCUUAAGUCGGAUGUGAAAUCCCUGAGCUUAACUUAGGAAUUGCAUUCGAUACUGGAAAGCUAGAGUAUGGGAGAGGAUGGUAGAAUUCCAGGUGUAGCAGUGAAAUGCGUAUAGAUCGGAAGGAACAUCUGUGGCGAAGGCGACUAUCUGGGCCAACACUGACACUGAGGCACGAAAGCGUGGGGAGCAAACAGGAUUAGAUACCCCUGUAGUCCUGUCUCUUAUACU
This 301-nucleotide ribosomal RNA is filed under the name uncultured bacterium. RNAcentral's name for it is "partial 16S ribosomal RNA". It matches the Rfam family "Bacterial small subunit ribosomal RNA", at positions 509 to 808 of the family's 1533-position model. The record is from RNAcentral.